GGAGUGGUAUGCAGGCCCCCAGCCCCUCCCCUCUCCUCUCUGGGGACAUCUCUGCUCUCUGCUGCACUUCCAGGAAGCCUAGUUAGCUCCCCUCCCCAUUCCAGCCCUAAUUUGAUUUGAUCUCCAUCUGGGGGCUGAUGCAGGCUCUGUCCACCUUCCAGCCAGUGUCAGGUUUCUCGUGGCCACAGGGCCUGGGCACACCCGGAGCACAGGACCCAGGAGCCAAUGCACCCAGUUGCAACAGAGUCUCAUUUAGUUAAAAAUGAAGCGUGAGGUGCCUGGUGGCUCGACUCUUGAUUUUGGCUCAGGUCAUGAUUCCAGGGUUGUGGGGUUGAGUUCCGUCAGCGGGGAGCAUGGAGCCUGCUUAAAAUUCUGUCUUUCAUCCUCUGCCCCUCCCCCACCCGCUCACGCUUCCUCUCUAAAAUAAAAAAAUAAAACCUAACUACUAAAAUGAA
Molecule: long non-coding RNA, 455 nt
Organism: Acinonyx jubatus (cheetah)
Lineage: Eukaryota; Metazoa; Chordata; Mammalia; Carnivora; Felidae
Exons: 2
Source: RefSeq, a predicted model, not a curated record